This 706-nucleotide long non-coding RNA is filed under the name Cyanistes caeruleus (blue tit). RNAcentral describes it as "lncRNA (ENSCCEG00000004573.1)". Lineage: Eukaryota; Metazoa; Chordata; Aves; Passeriformes; Paridae. The record is from RNAcentral.
GGCUUGAAUUGAAAGACGAUGGAGAGAGGAACUUAAUAUUUUUCUUCUGUUCUUCAUGUUUAAUGGGAGAUACUUUCCUUUAAAAGAAGUCAGUGAUGUACCACAAGGCAUGAGACUUCCAGAGGUUCUCAAUCAAAGUUAUCAACGCUGGGGUUUGUGUAUCCCACCCUGUCCACACCAGUCCACAAACAAGGUCUCUGAGAAGACAGAAAGAAACAAAGAUACUACAGGGCAGCAACUGGAGCUACUGCAUGACCACAGGAAGGUGGAGCACCACAUUAACCUGCAAUUCCAUUCUCUACUUGAGCUACAUUACAAAAACAUGCAAUGCUCCAGAGACAGAACUGUUCUUUUAAAUGCAAGAGCCUUUCUUUCUUCAUUUCUCUGGGAAAGGUGUGGCCAGCAGGUCAAGGGACGUGAUCCUUGCCAUCUACUCAGUCCUAGUGACACCACAUCUCUGGAGUAUUGCGCUCAUCUCUGGUCUCCACAGUUCAAGAAAGACAAGGAGCUACUGAAGAAGGUCCAGCAGAGAACCACAAAGAUGAUGGAGGAGUCUGGAGCAUCUCUUGUGAGCAGAGACUGCAAGAGCUGGACCUGUUUUUUGUGGAGAAGACUGAGAGGAAUCUCAUCAAUAUCUAUAAAUACCUCAAAGGCAGGUGCCAAGAAGGUGGUGCCAGACUCUUCAGUGAUGCCAGCAACAGGAUGA